UUUGUAGCAAUACGAGAGUAUCCUAGUGGCGAACGGGUGAGUAACGCGUUGGUGACUGCCCCAAAGUGUGGGAUAACAGUCCGAAAGGACUGCUAAUACCUCAUGUGGUUAUUGGCUUUAGAAACCGGUAACUAAAGGAGCAAUUCGCUUUGGGAGGGACUGCGUCCCAUCAGCUAGUUGGUGAGGUAAUGGCUCACCAAGGCGACGACGGGUAGGGGACCUGAGAGGGUGGCCCCCACAAUGGAACUGAAACACGGUCCAUACACCUACGGGUGGCAGCAGUAGGGAAUAUUGCUCAAUGGGCGAAAGCCUGAAGCAGCAACGCCGCGUGCGUGAUGAAGGUCUUCGGAUCGUAAAGCGCUUUUCUGGGAGAUGAGAAAGGACAGUAUCCCAGGAAUAAGUCUCGGCUAACUACGUGCCAGCAGCCGCGGUAAAACGUAGGAGGCAAGCGUUAUCCGGAUUCACUGGGCGUAAAGCGCGUGCAGGUGGCGUGGUAAGUUGGAUGUGAAAUCUCCCGGCUCAACUGGGAGAGGUCAUUCAAUACUACCGUGCUUGAGAGCAGAAGAGGAAGAUGGAAUUCCCGGUGUAGUGGUGAAAUGCGUAGAUAUCGGGAGGAACACCAGUGGCGAAGGCGAUCUUCUGGUCUGUUUCUGACACUCAGACGCGACAGCUAGGGUAGUAAACGGGAUUAGAGACCCCGGUAAUCCUAGCCGUAAACGAUGUGAACUUGGCGUUGGUGGGUUAAACUCCAUCAGUGCCGCAGCAAACGCGAUAAGUUCACCGCCUGGGGACUACGGCCG
RNAcentral lists this ribosomal RNA (800 nucleotides) under uncultured Chloroflexota bacterium. RNAcentral describes it as "bacterial SSU rRNA". It matches the Rfam family "Bacterial small subunit ribosomal RNA", at positions 73 to 888 of the family's 1533-position model. Lineage: Bacteria; Bacillati; Chloroflexota. The record is from RNAcentral.